This 391-nucleotide ribosomal RNA is filed under the name Neisseria subflava. RNAcentral describes it as "bacterial SSU rRNA". It matches the Rfam family "Bacterial small subunit ribosomal RNA", at positions 30 to 415 of the family's 1533-position model. Lineage: Bacteria; Pseudomonadati; Pseudomonadota; Betaproteobacteria; Neisseriales; Neisseriaceae. The record is from RNAcentral.
AUUGAACGCUGGCGGCAUGCUUUACACAUGCAAGUCGGACGGCAGCACAGAGAAGCUUGCUUCUUGGGUGGCGAGUGGCGAACGGGUGAGUAAUAUAUCGGAACGUACCGAGUAAUGGGGGAUAACUAAUCGAAAGAUUAGCUAAUACCGCAUAUUCUCUGAGGAGGAAAGCAGGGGACCUUCGGGCCUUGCGUUAUUCGAGCGGCCGAUAUCUGAUUAGCUAGUUGGUGGGGUAAAGGCCUACCAAGGCGACGAUCAGUAGCGGGUCUGAGAGGAUGAUCCGCCACACUGGGACUGAGACACGGCCCAGACUCCUACGGGAGGCAGCAGUGGGGAAUUUUGGACAAUGGGCGCAAGCCUGAUCCAGCCAUGCCGCGUGUCUGAAGAAGGC